Molecule: long non-coding RNA, 2380 nt
Organism: Bubalus bubalis (water buffalo)
Lineage: Eukaryota; Metazoa; Chordata; Mammalia; Artiodactyla; Bovidae
Exons: 4
Source: RefSeq, a predicted model, not a curated record
ACUUAGGUCUGAAUGUGACGCUGGUCCUGUCCUCAAGGUCUCAUAGAGUCGGGUAGAGGUCACCCCUCAAACACAACCGCAAAGCACGUAGCCCUAGAGUUCAUCACACAAGGGGCAGCCAAAGGGAAAAACAGCCAGUGUUUAAGGAGUGUUUGUAAGGCAGUGACGUUAAGCGAGGCGCUGCGUGUGUGUCACCCUCGGCUCUUGCGGUAGGGGCUUAUAUGUCAGUCCUUGGUUUGCCCGUGAGCGGUUCUUGGCGAUUGCUUGUUACAGGGUCAACCAGUGUCAUUCAGCCCAGGUGUGUCCAAUAGCGCAGGCCAAGCCCUUAUCUGAUUGAGACCAGCCCUUGAAGGAGGCAGACCACCUGAGAGCUCUCAGUGCUCCUGGCUGGUAUCUUUUUACUCUGCCCAGGACACCCAACUCCAGUGUCCCUUGGUCUCCCCAGCCCUACCCACUCUCUUCCCUGCUCUUUGCUCUCUGUUCCAUAUACUGUGAAAUAAUCUGUUGACCAAGCUGCUGGCCUUUCGGGGAGACUUUGUGCCCCGCAGAGCCUAGCACAGAGUCUAGCACAGAGUCAGCCUAAAAAUGGGCAAGGCCUUUGCUGGGCCUCUGGUUCCUCAUCUGGUCCCAGAUGAUCUAAGACCCUUGAGCUUGGAAAUCAGCAGGUUUGAAACGGCUUUUGGUCUUAACUGCACUUUAACUAUGGAGAACUCAGAAUAAAGAUCUAGUUUGCUCCCCAGGCCCUAAGCCCAUCAGAAUGCUGACUAAAUGAUUGUUAAGGUGCACCUGGGUUCCUCAUUAAAGCCGGACCAACCUGCAAAUGCUUAGAACCCAGUCAGCCACAGUGCUCUCCUUGCUGCGAUUGCCAGGGUGCCAGUCCUGCCGCCCAGUGCUUCCAUUUCAGAUGGGGAAACCAGGGCCUGACUAGAGGCCCCAAUUUAUUGGGGUGCUCUGUCCACAGCCUUCUGAGAGAGAAAGGGAGGUUUACAUGAAUUCUCAGCACUAUUUACUUUGGUGGAAAAUGUGAAACAACUCUCUGCCUCUCACUGGGAGCCGAUUGCUUACUGUCACUCUGGGACCUCUGCACAGCGAUGGAAGCCCGGGCCUCAGGGACGAGGCCAGCCUGGGAGGCAGAGUCCGGUCCAGACCCCUGGACGCCUGGCAGCGUGGUCCUAGGAGGAGGACCGUUUUUCUGCGUCUGACGCUCCGACAGCCAGCUCACGUUUCUAUUUCAGAAGGUGUUAAAGACCUGAAAGGAGCACCCGGCCCUCUUCUGGUGGGGCACUGACACGUGCCGGUGUCAUCCUUCCAACGGCUGAGGGGCAGGGCCUUCGCCAUGUCAGGGAGAAGGCCACAGAGGCUCGGAGGCUAAUCCAGCCCCCAUUGUGGAGGAAGAAGAGUCACACUUACCAAGUUUUGCUCACAGAGGCCCCGGAACUGCUGGAAUUUCUGCGACAUCAGUAGCUGGGCACUGCCCACAGCACUGAGGACUUUCCCUAAGACUGAGAGAGAAGGGGGAGAAAGGCUGAGCAGAGCACAAGGUCUGGUUUCACCUCCCUCCCCACCACCUCAGGACACCAGUCAUCAUGUGGUGAUGGCAGCCAGUCUUCAUUUUAUUUACACAGUAAUUAACCCACUAGUUGCUAAGGAUAUUUCAUGACAAUAAAUCGGAAAACUGAGUUUAAAUGGAAAAAAACUUUUCAGGGAAACAAAUUACUACUAUAGGCUCAACAGGAAAUAGAAAAUCUGAUUAGACCAAUAAUUGUUUAAAAUAACUGAAGCAGGAGUUAAAAAUCUUCUCUAGAAAAAGGAACCAGGCCUAUAUAGUUUUAUAGGUGAGGUUUUACAAAACCUUCAAGGAAAAGAUAACCCCUGUUAUAUAUAUUCAAAUUCUUCCUGAGAGUAAACAGACACAGAAGAUGACACAGCUAAUUUCAGGAGCCCUGAGAAAAGAUAGGGCACGACCAGAACGGGCCACUUGCAUUAGGAACACACAAGCCUCAGGAGCAAAGAGCAGCGUUAACCAUCAAGUGCUCAGCCCAGGAAUACCAGACUGAAGUCUUUUAGUGCAAUUUCUGUUUUUAAAGUGGCAGGGGAGACUUUCCUGGUGCUCCAGUGGUUAAGACUCCACACUUCUAAUGCAGGGGGUGCACAUUUGAUCCUUGGUCAGGGAACUAAGAUCCCACAAGCCACACGCCACAAUGAAAGAGAAGCCUACAGGCUGCAACCAAGAGCCUGUGCACUGCAGUGAAAGCUCCCCCAGGCCACGACUGGGGCCUGACGCAGUCAAAUAUUUUUUUUUCUAAAGUAAAAAAAUUAUGUUGUAUGUCAUCAAAAUAAUAAAGUAUGUCAUCAAAAUAAUAAAGUAACAGGAAGACAA